UUAAAUUGAAGAGUUUGAUCAUGGCUCAGAUUGAACGCUGGCGGCAGGCCUAACACAUGCAAGUCGAACGGUAACAGGAAGCAGCUUGCUGCUUUGCUGACGAGUGGCGGACGGGUGAGUAAUGUCUGGGAAACUGCCUGAUGGAGGGGGAUAACUACUGGAAACGGUGGCUAAUACCGCAUAAUGUCGCAAGACCAAAGAGGGGGACCUUCGGGCCUCUUGCCAUCAGAUGUGCCCAGAUGGGAUUAGCUUGUUGGUGAGGUAACGGCUCACCAAGGCGACGAUCCCUAGCUGGUCUGAGAGGAUGACCAGCCACACUGGAACUGAGACACGGUCCAGACUCCUACGGGAGGCAGCAGUGGGGAAUAUUGCACAAUGGGCGCAAGCCUGAUGCAGCCAUGCCGCGUGUAUGAAGAAGGCCUUCGGGUUGUAAAGUACUUUCAGCGGGGAGGAAGGUGUUGUGGUUAAUAGCCGCAGCAAUUGACGUUACCCGCAGAAGAAGCACCGGCUAACUCCGUGCCAGCAGCCGCGGUAAUACGGAGGGUGCAAGCGUUAAUCGGAAUUACUGGGCGUAAAGCGCACGCAGGCGGUCUGUCAAGUCGGAUGUGAAAUCCCCGGGCUCAACCUGGGAACUGCAUUCGAAACUGGCAGGCUUGAGUCUUGUAGAGGGGGGUAGAAUUCCAGGUGUAGCGGUGAAAUGCGUAGAGAUCUGGAGGAAUACCGGUG
Molecule: ribosomal RNA, 726 nt
Filed under: Salmonella enterica
Lineage: Bacteria; Pseudomonadati; Pseudomonadota; Gammaproteobacteria; Enterobacterales; Enterobacteriaceae
Description: bacterial SSU rRNA
Rfam family: Bacterial small subunit ribosomal RNA
Source: RNAcentral